Ribosomal RNA from Vicugna pacos (alpaca), 134 nucleotides. Lineage: Eukaryota; Metazoa; Chordata; Mammalia; Artiodactyla; Camelidae. The record is from Ensembl.
GUCUAUGGCCAUACCACCCUGAACGAACCCAGUCUCACUUGAUCUCAGAAGCGAAGCAGGGUCGGGCCUGGUUAGUACUUGGAUGGGAAAAAUGUUCAUUCUGCUGCUUCUGGGUAGACCACUCUGUUAAGAUC